This 420-nucleotide ribosomal RNA is filed under the name uncultured eukaryote. RNAcentral describes it as "bacterial SSU rRNA". It matches the Rfam family "Eukaryotic small subunit ribosomal RNA", at positions 592 to 1018 of the family's 1831-position model. The record is from RNAcentral.
CAAUAGCGUAUAUUAAAGUUGUUGCAGUUAAAAAGCUCGUAGUUGGAUGUCUGGCUCUGUGUUGCGGUCCACCGCAAGGUGAGCACUGCGAUGUGGGGUCUUCCUCUUGAAUGCUGCGUGUGCUCUUAGUUGAGUGUGCGUGGGGUUUGGGAUCUUUACUUUGAAAAAUUAGAGUGUUCAAAGCAGGCUUAUGCCUUGGAUAUGUUAGCAUGGAAUAAUAAGAUAAGACUUUGGCGGUCUAUUUUGUUGGUUUGCACGCCAUUGUAAUGAUUGAUAGGGACAGUUGGGGGCAUUCGUAUUUCAUUGUCAGAGGUGAAAUUCUUGGAUUUAUGAAAGACGAACUUCUGCGAAAGCAUUUGCCAAGGAUGUUUUCAUUAAUCAAGAACGAAAGUUGGAGGCUCAAAGACGAUUAGAUACCAU